AUAUCAUCAUUCACAAACAAAUUAUAACUUCUUUAGCUACACAAAAGAAAAAAAAAACUAUGUACAAACAAAAAAAUUACCAUGUUAAGGAAGAGAAUUCUUCAAAGAAUAAGGAGGAACUCAAGGUACAUAAACUAAUUGAUGCUCCUCCAUAUCCAAGUAUUACUUACACAUCGAAUGGAUUCGAGGCUUUUAGGCCCGAAAAAGAAAGUAAUGUAAGGAAGGAAAGGCAAGAGUAUCGAUGGAGUAGCAAUGGAUAUGCUAAUCGAGAAGAGAAUAGCUAUGCAAAAAUCGCGUAUGAAGAAGAAGAAGAUGUUGAUGUUGAAGCAAAUAACUUCAUCAAAUGGGAGCAUGAUAAGUUUAAUCGUGCUAAAUUGAUGUCCAUGGAGUCCUUUUACUGAUGACUUAGAAACUUAUAUAUCUUAUUAUAUAUAACGACUAAGCUUGAAUAUUAAUAAAUAAAAAGUGAGGCAUACGAGACUCCCUUUUAUUUACAGAUUAAGAAAUAUAUAUAUAAAAAAACUAAGCUUGAAUAUUGAUGCAUUUUAGCUAAAUAAUUUGUAAUCGGUUGUGUUUGUAUUUGCUUUUAUAGUACUAUUGUACUCAAGAUUGAUAGUCGUUGACUUAUGAUUUUGUGUUUGUGUGUCAAAAAUUAAAUCUAUCUUUUCUAAUUUGUUGAGUAACUAGAAAGCCAAAAAAACAUUUGCUUCUACAGUGUAUUUGGUAGGAAGGAAAAUGUUUUCCAUUUCUUUUGAAAAAAAAAGUAAUUUUUUACUUAUUUUUUAGUAUUUAAUAAUCGUUUUUUUUUUUUAUUUUAUUGGCUUGCCAUCUUAAUGCACAGGCAAGUGUAUAUAAUCGCAAGUAAUACAACGAUUAUAAGCACUAUUACUACGCAGAGAACAAGUAUUUUCACAAGAGAGUGAUUUAUUUUACUACUUUUAAUUUGCAUUAUUUAAAGAUUAAUUUACUAAUGAUCGAUUGGAUAGAUAGGUUAACGGUUAACACAAUAUAAGACAAAUUUCAGGAUUAUGGUGCCUCUAUAUACUAACUAACGUUGUGUCUACAUCUUUGUUAUCAUGCUAGUGAAAAGUGACAGGCAGGGGCGGAGCUAUCCUUGUUCGGGGUGUCAAGCGACAUUCCUUCAUUAGAAAAUUACAUUGUAUAGAUAGAUCAAAUAUAUUAAUGUUGACACCUCUUGACAUAGGGUAAAUAGUUCAGCUCAGUGUUUAAGGGGCUGCAAAAGCUCUCGAUGGUUGAGUGUUUGAUACUGGCUCAAGUU
Molecule: long non-coding RNA, 1279 nt
Organism: Solanum stenotomum
Lineage: Eukaryota; Viridiplantae; Streptophyta; Magnoliopsida; Solanales; Solanaceae
Exons: 2
Source: RefSeq, a predicted model, not a curated record